This 324-nucleotide ribosomal RNA is filed under the name uncultured eukaryote. Its description in RNAcentral is "partial 18S ribosomal RNA". It matches the Rfam family "Eukaryotic small subunit ribosomal RNA", at positions 1470 to 1796 of the family's 1831-position model. The record is from RNAcentral.
CCCUUAGAUGUUCUGGGCUGCACGCGCGCUACACUGGUCGAUGCAACGAGUUUCUUUCCUUGGCCGACAGGCCUGGGCAAUCUUUGAACAUCGAUCGUGAUCGGGAUAGAUUCUUGUAAUUUUUGAUCUUAAACGAGGAAUUCCUAGUAAACGCAAGUCAUCAGCUUGCAUUGAUUACGUCCCUGCCCUUUGUACACACCGCCCGUCGCACCUACCGAUUGAAUGGUCCGGUGAAAUCUCCGGACUGGCGUGAGUCGGAGCAAUCUGACAAACGCCGGAAAGUUGAUUAAACCUUACCAUUUAGAGGAAGGUGAANUCGUANCA